GAUGAACGCUGGCGGCGUGCCUAAUACAUGCAAGUCGAGCGAAUGGAUUAAGAGCUUGCUCUUAUGAAGUUAGCGACGGACGGGUGAGUAACACGUGGGUAACCUGCCCAUAAGACUGGGAUAACUCCGGGAAACCGGGGCUAAUACCGGAUAACAUUUUGAACCGCAUGGUUCGUAAUUGAAAGGCGGCUUCGGCUGUCACUUAUGGAUGGACCCGCGUCGCAUUAGCUAGUUGGUGAGGUAACGGCUCACCAAGGCAACGAUGCGUAGCCGACCUGAGAGGGUGAUCGGCCACACUGGGACUGAGACACGGCCCAGACUCCUACGGGAGGCAGCAGUAGGGAAUCUUCCGCAAUGGACGAAAGUCUGACGGGGCAACGCCGCGUGAGUGAUGAAGGCUUUCGGGUCGUAAAACUCUGUUGUUAGGGAAGAACAAGUGCUAGUUGAAUAAGCUGGCACCUUGACGGUACCUAACCAGAAAGCCACGGCUAACUACGUGCCAGCAGCCGCGGUAA
RNAcentral lists this ribosomal RNA (515 nucleotides) under uncultured bacterium. Its description in RNAcentral is "partial 16S ribosomal RNA". It matches the Rfam family "Bacterial small subunit ribosomal RNA", at positions 28 to 523 of the family's 1533-position model. The record is from RNAcentral.